This is a long non-coding RNA of Scylla paramamosain (green mud crab), 359 nucleotides long. RefSeq lists it as uncharacterized. The transcript has 2 exons. NCBI's taxonomy places the organism in Eukaryota, Metazoa, Arthropoda, Malacostraca, Decapoda, Portunidae. The record is from RefSeq and is a predicted model, not a curated record.
CUUCCUUCCUCCCGUCUCCCGGAGUGUACACACCUGCACUCUUGAGGCUGCUGGCGAGAAGAACUGUGUCCCAAGCCCUCCACCAUGGCCGCCGCUCCGAAAGUUUGCGUCCGUCGCGCGAAGCUCAUCUUCCUGAUGGAGAACGCAGGCAAGGACGUCUUGACCUUCGUGUUGAAGCGCGGCGCGCUGAACGCCCCCGCCACGCCGCCAGGCCAGUCCCUCAUUGACUACCUUGACAACCUCCCUCAAGGCUCGACAGCCAACUAUGGCAGGAUGAGUAACAAACAAAAGAAAGCAGCACUGAACCACAGUUCAGUGCUGCUUAUCCUCUGACGUGACUACUUUAUUCAUUAUUUUUU